This 317-nucleotide long non-coding RNA is filed under the name Mustela putorius furo (domestic ferret). RNAcentral's name for it is "lncRNA (ENSMPUG00000026358.1)". Lineage: Eukaryota; Metazoa; Chordata; Mammalia; Carnivora; Mustelidae. The record is from RNAcentral.
GGAGGGGUCACCUUCUCUGUAAGAGGCAGCCCUGACUGGUCGGUUUGAUUCUCGGUGCUGGCACGAAAUAAAGCUUUGCUUGACCCUCGCUUUGUAUCAGUCUCACUCCUUUGAUCACAGACCCAGAACUGGGGGCUUGUCCAGGAUUAAAUGACAAGAACUGAGCCAGCAUCAGAGUUUCUGGGAAAAGUCUCUGGAGGAAACAAGAAGAUCACCCCCUGGACCUAACACCCCCCAACUCCGGAACUUCCCACCUAGGUCUCAGGUAAACAUUCGAAGUGGAGUGGGUCCAGGUGGAAUGUAAAUUGGUAUUUGAA